GGAGAGAACGUGUGGUGGAUAGUGGCGAAAGGGUGAGGAACACGUGGGUAACCUACCCUGGAGUUGGGGAUAACCAGGCGAAAGCCUGGCUAAUACCGAAUGUGGUCUUCCUGCGCAUGCAGGGAUGACUAAAGGCGGGGAUCCUUCGGGACCUGCCGCUCCAUGAGGGGCCCGCGUCCCAUCAGUUUGUUGGUGAGGUAACGGCUCACCAAGGCAACAACGGGUAGCUGGUCUGAGAGGAUGGUCAGCCACACUGGGACUGAGACACUGCCCAGACUCCUACGGGAGGCUGCAGUCGAGGAUCAUUUGCAAUGCGCGAAAGCGUGACAAUGCGACGCUGCGUGGAGGAUGACGGCCUUCGGGUUGUAAACUCCUGUCAUUCGGGAACAAUGACACGAGGGAUAGUACCCCUUGUGAGUGAUGGUACCGAAAGAGGAAGCCACGGCUAACUCUGUGCCAGCAGCCGCGGUAAUACAGAGGUGGCAAGCGUUGUUCGGAUUUACUGGGCGUAAAGGGUGCGUAGGUGGUUUUGUAUGUCGGAUGUGAAAGCCCACUGCUCAACGGUGGAAUUGCAUUCGAAACUGCGGAACUAGAGUACAGGAAGGGAGAGUGGAAUUCUUGGUGUAGCGGUGAAAUGUGUUGAUAUCAAGAAGAACACCGGUGGCGAAGGCGGCUCUCUGGAAUGUUACUGACACUGAGGCACGAAAGCUGGGGGAGCGAACAGGAUUAGAUACCCUGGUAGUCCCAGCCGUAAACGGUGUGAACUUGGUGUGGGGGGUAUUGACCCCCCCCGUGCCGGAGCUAACGCGUUAAGUUCACCGCCUGGGGAGUACGGCCGCAAGGCUAAAACUCAAAGAAAUUGACGGGGGCCCGCACAAGCGGAGGAGCAUGUGGCUCAAUUCGAUGCAACGCGAAGAACCUUACCAGGGCUUGACAUGCAGCUGCACGUCCGGUGAAAGUCGGAUUCCUUUGAGGGUGCUGCACAGGUGCUGCAUGGCUGUCGUCAGUUCGUGGCGUGAGGUGUUGGGUUAAGUCCCGCAACGAACGCAACCCUUGUGUUUAGUUGCUAUCGCAGGUGAUGAGCCUGCGAGCACUCUAGACAGACUGCCCGUACAAGCGGGAGGAAGGUGGGGACGACGUCAAGUCAGUAUGGCCCUUACGCCCUGGGCUGCACACGUGCUACAAUGGCCGGUACAGUGAGAUGCAAUGUCGUGAGGC
Molecule: ribosomal RNA, 1218 nt
Filed under: metagenome
Description: bacterial SSU rRNA
Rfam family: Bacterial small subunit ribosomal RNA
Source: RNAcentral